This 764-nucleotide ribosomal RNA is filed under the name uncultured bacterium. Its description in RNAcentral is "bacterial SSU rRNA". It matches the Rfam family "Bacterial small subunit ribosomal RNA", at positions 28 to 805 of the family's 1533-position model. The record is from RNAcentral.
GAGGACCUUUGGCGGCGCGCCUAACACAUGCAAGUCGAACGAGCGAGAGAGAGCUUGCUUUCUCAAGCGAGUGGCGAACGGGUGAGUAACGCGUGAGGAACCUGCCUCAAAGAGGGGGACAACAGUUGGAAACGACUGCUAAUACCGCAUAAGCCCACGGGUCGGCAUCAACCAGAGGGAAAAGGAGCAAUCCGCUUUGAGAUGGCCUCGCGUCCGAUUAGCUAGUUGGUGAGGUAACGGCCCACCAAGGCAACGAUCGGUAGCCGGACUGAGAGGUUGAACGGCCACAUUGGGACUGAGACACGGCCCAGACUCCUACGGGAGGCAGCAGUGGGGAAUAUUGCACAAUGGGGGAAACCCUGAUGCAGCGACGCCGCGUGGAGGAAGAAGGUCUUCGGAUUGUAAACUCCUGUUGUUGAGGAAGAUAAUGACGGUACUCAACAAGGAAGUGACGGCUAACUACGUGCCAGCAGCCGCGGUAAAACGUAGGUCACAAGCGUUGUCCGGAAUUACUGGGUGUAAAGGGAGCGCAGGCGGGAAGACAAGUUGGAAGUGAAAUCCAUGGGCUCAACCCAUGAACUGCUUUCAAAACUGUUUUUCUUGAGUAGUGCAGAGGUAGGCGGAAUUCCCGGUGUAGCGGUGGAAUGCGUAGAUAUCGGGAGGAACACCAGUGGCGAAGGCGGCCUACUGGGCACCAACUGACGCUGAGGCUCGAAAGUGUGGGUAGCAAACAGGAUUAGAUACCCUGGUAGUCCACACCGUAA